RNAcentral lists this transfer RNA (84 nucleotides) under Daphnia pulex (common water flea). It matches the Rfam family "tRNA". Rfam says of the family: Transfer RNA (tRNA) molecules are approximately 80 nucleotides in length. Their secondary structure includes four short double-helical elements and three loops (D, anti-codon, and T loops). The record is from Rfam by way of RNAcentral. Lineage: Eukaryota; Metazoa; Arthropoda; Branchiopoda; Diplostraca; Daphniidae.
GUCAGGAUGGCCGAGUGGUCUAAGGCGCUGUGUUCAGGUCGCAGUCCAGUACUCUGGGCGAGGGUUCGAAUCCCUCUUCUGACA